Molecule: non-coding RNA, 428 nt
Organism: Rattus norvegicus (Norway rat)
Lineage: Eukaryota; Metazoa; Chordata; Mammalia; Rodentia; Muridae
Product: Nuclear RNase P
Source: Ensembl
GGCGGGGGAAGCUCAUCAGCGGGGCCACGCGCUGAGUGCUUGUCACUCCAUCGGCCCCUGGGAAGGUCUGAGACUGGGGCCUCCCGCGGCCCUAACCGGGCUCUCCCCGAGUGGGGAGGUGAGUUCCCAGAGAGCAGGGCUCCACGCGUGGGCAGACUGGGCAGGAGAAGCCCCCGGGUGGGCGGAUGCCUCCCUCGCCGGGGCUUGGAACAGACUCACGGCCAGCAGUUCGAGAACUUAGGCAUCCAAAAGUGUAGCUCCUAGUUUCAGGUGUAGCUGUACCCAGGACUCAAAACCAUCCAGGGACACGGCUGGACCUGUUCUUUCCUUACUCACCCGGGCAUCUGAAUUCCUGUGUCGUUUUCGGUGAGCACAAGGUUUCCCUGGUUAUCAAGCUAUCCCAACAUUCAGUGCUUUCUUUUCCUGCU